RNAcentral lists this ribosomal RNA (252 nucleotides) under uncultured bacterium. RNAcentral describes it as "partial 16S ribosomal RNA". It matches the Rfam family "Bacterial small subunit ribosomal RNA", at positions 524 to 776 of the family's 1533-position model. The record is from RNAcentral.
UACGGAGGAUGCGAGCGUUAUCCGGAUUUAUUGGGUUUAAAGGGUGCGUAGGCGGAUCGUUAAGUCAGUGGUCAUAUUGAGGGGCUCAACCCCUUCCCGCCAUUGAAACUGGCGAUCUUGAGUGGAAGAGAAGUAUGCGGAAUGCGUGGUGUAGCGGUGAAAUGCAUAGAUAUCACGCAGAACCCCGAUUGCGAAGGCAGCAUGCCGGCUUCCGACUGACGCUGAAGCACGAAAGCGUGGGGAUCGAACAGG